RNAcentral lists this long non-coding RNA (566 nucleotides) under Parus major (Great Tit). RNAcentral's name for it is "lncRNA (ENSPMJG00000014527.1)". The record is from RNAcentral. Lineage: Eukaryota; Metazoa; Chordata; Aves; Passeriformes; Paridae.
CUCACCAUUUAAGAGAAAGAAGGAAAGGUAAAGAGAGAAAGAGAGAGAAAGGGAUUUGUUCUCUGCCUUAUUCAUACAUUAGCUCUCUGCAAAGGCACAAAGCAGAAGGAGCAGCAUCAGCAACCUUGCAAGCAGUGACUCUGUUUCCAAUUAAUAUGAUCUGAGCUACUUUGAGAAGCCAAUUUAUUACUUACACAUAUCACACUUGAGCUCUGCUGAAAACUGGAUGUGCCAAGCACACCUUUGCUUCUGAUUUAUACAUAAAGACUUGCAUCUUUCACAGAACAAACCUUAUCAGGAGAGACUCAACCAAGGCAGGCUGCAUCCUCAUCUGCUGGUGGAGGAUCCCAAGGACCCGUUCCCCAGUGGGACUGACUCAGGUCCUUAAAGAGAAACACAAGUGUGAAAGAGAAGAGCCAUGGAUCCAUUGGAAGUUAAACCAGGUGCAUUUAAAGUUGUGGGAAGACUGUUGGAUUAUGAAAGCUGACUGAGGAGUCUGCCUAAGUAUCAAAAAGAUGUCUUUAUGUUAUGCCCUGUUUUCUACUGCCUUUUACUGAGGAACUGGA